UUUUCUAAGUGGACCUGUCCCAACUCCCAGUGACACAACAGGCACAGAAAAAUAUUUGGUACUGGUUGUGCCUCCACAGUCCCCUCCCUGUGACCAAAAUCUUCCCUUAGUUAUGCAUUUAUUUAUUGUUUUGAGUUACAUGCAGUGCUUGAAGUGGGGAAAGGACAAGGCCAGAAGGACUGCUGACGCGCUGAACCAGGCUGUCCCUUUCUGCCAGCAGUGGGGUGGACUUAUUAGAAAUCCGAGCUUCAUUUCACCAGUGAGUUUCAUUUGACCCUCACCAAUGUGCACUGAAACYUUAAGGACUAAAGCUUUUCUCUCUGCUGUCUAUUUGGUGAUUGAAUUAAACGAACAAGAAUGAUGGAUGUGUUUAACCAUUUUAAUACAACCCAAGCAAUUGGGCUAUGCUUUCCUGGUGCAUCUGAUGCUACAAAACCGUGUGCUCUUUUCCRUCCAAAGAUUUAGCAAGUGAUACAUACAAGAUAUGACUUUCUGAUGUUGAAGGAAAACAAACAAGCCCCUACUUCCCCCUUAAGGGAAACAAAUGGUCUGAGAAACUUUUUGUUAUUCCAGUGUGGGCCUGGUUCCGCCAGCUCAAGAUUGGACAUCCAGAAUGAGCAU
Molecule: long non-coding RNA, 621 nt
Filed under: Dromaius novaehollandiae (emu)
Lineage: Eukaryota; Metazoa; Chordata; Aves; Casuariiformes; Dromaiidae
Description: lncRNA (ENSDNVG00000005903.1)
Source: RNAcentral